GAUGAACGCUGGCGGCGUGCCUAAUACAUGCCAGUCGAGCGAACAGACGAGGAGCUUGCUCCUCUGACGUUAGCGGCGGACGGGUGAGUAACACGUGGAUAACCUACCUAUAAGACUGGGAUAACUUCGGGAAACCGGAGCUAAUACCGGAUAAUAUAUUGAACCGCAUGGUUCAAUAGUGAAAGACGGUUUUGCUGUCACUUAUAGAUGGAUCCGCGCCGCAUUAGCUAGUUGGUAAGGUAACGGCUUACCGAGGCAACGAUGCGUAGCCGACCUGAGAGGGUGAUCGGCCACACUGGAACGGAGACACGGUCCAGACUCCUACGGGAGGCAGCAGUAGGGAAUCGUCCGCAAUGGGCGAAAGCCUGACGGAGCAACGCCGCGUGAGUGAUGAAGGUCUUCGGAUCGUAAAACUCUGUUAUUAGGGAAGAACAAAUGUGUAAGUAACUAUGCACGUCUUGACGGUACCUAAUCAGAGCCACGGCUAACUACGU
RNAcentral lists this ribosomal RNA (494 nucleotides) under uncultured bacterium. RNAcentral's name for it is "partial 16S ribosomal RNA". It matches the Rfam family "Bacterial small subunit ribosomal RNA", at positions 28 to 506 of the family's 1533-position model. The record is from RNAcentral.